Cryptomeria japonica (Japanese cedar) is the source of this 1409-nucleotide long non-coding RNA. RefSeq lists it as uncharacterized. The transcript is spliced from 2 exons. The record is from RefSeq and is a predicted model, not a curated record. Lineage: Eukaryota; Viridiplantae; Streptophyta; Pinopsida; Cupressales; Cupressaceae.
GACACCAAAUUGACCGGAAUUCAAAUUCAUUUCCAGACCCCAUUUAAGUCCAAAAGCCGAAGACAAGUACUACCUACUCUUUCAAGAUACACCAUUAAAAAAAGACAAGGAGUCACCCCACUUCCAUUGAUGAGGAACUUGACAGUCAAUUAAUGCUGUAAAUUUAAAGGACAGUAAUGACAGCGGUCAGGGCAUCUGAGUCACCUGAAUCCUCCAUCACCGACUGGGGCAGCGGUUCUAGCGUGACAUCAAACUAAUGUAAACCGUCUCUUUAAAUCACUCUUGCGAUUCGAACCCUGGUGGUACCACUGGCCCAGAUAUAGAUUAAUAUUUCAUGAGAUGCUCUGUUGAAAACUUGUGAGACCGUCAAUUUCCUGCCUAAUCUGUACUACUGUAAAGGCUUUUGACCACUACAAAGUCUGCAAAGGUGUUUCCCAGAUCAUGAAGAGCGUGUGACCAAUUAAGAUACAUCCUAAGAAAGGAUAUAUACACAAAGGAUGUAUCUCUGUAUAUUAAAAAAGGUAUAUACACAAAGGAUAUAUGUAUGUAUAUUCAUAAAAGAUAGGUAUAUACACGAAAGAUAUAUGUAUGUAUAUAUUCAUAAAAGAAAGGUAUACACGAAGGAUAUAUGCAUGUAUAUUCAUAAAAGAUAGGUAUAUACACAAAGGAUAUAUACAUACCUUUGUGGCGAUUCAGAAGAUUUAAAGUGCUCUGCACGACAAAAAUCACGGGUAUUCACCAACACAGUAAUGCAUAGGUGAGAUAUGCGCGCCUCUGAGCUGUGUUGCAGCUGGACAUCCAAACUUUGCCUUCACGCGCCAAUUUAUUAGUCUUCUUCACACCAUUCUUUUACCUUCCUUACUAAAAAUACAAACCCUACAAAGCGCCUUUCCGAUUAUAUGGCUGAUGAUAGAUUGAUAGAAUGAAAUUGUACAGAUUUCUAUUUCGAAGCCAUGCCAUGAGCGUCUUGUUGCUGCUACUUCUGUUGCAGGGAGCGACCUGUAGAAGAUUGAAAGCCUCCAGCUUGGCCGUUUCUCCGCCAAAACAAGCCUUUAAUUCAGUAAACGUGGAGAUGCGAAGAAAGAGGCACAAGAGAGGAGAAUUCAGAGACUGUCUUCCCAAGGGAUUCCGUCCACCACCAUCGGCGCCCAGUCACUUUGGGAAUUCGCAGACAGUUGGCUCAUCUUUCAUCUGCUCAAAUGAUCUUUCAAACCCUUGAUUUUCUCAGCUCAGCUGGAUGUGUUGUUUCCAGUUUUCAAUAAGCUGGGAUGCAGAUGUUGCUUUCACGCUGGUUAUUUAUGUAAAAAUUCAGUUGGAUGUGCUGUUUUCAGUUUUCGAGAUACAGAUGGUUCAGGUCAUGAGGGAAAACAGAGAUAAAAAUAAAACAUGUUCUACUCUUUAGUUUUUAA